RNAcentral lists this ribosomal RNA (468 nucleotides) under uncultured bacterium. RNAcentral describes it as "bacterial SSU rRNA". It matches the Rfam family "Bacterial small subunit ribosomal RNA", at positions 29 to 506 of the family's 1533-position model. The record is from RNAcentral.
AUGAACGCUGGCGGCGUGUCUAAGGCAUGCAAGUCGAACGAUUUCAAUUGAUCCGCAAGGAUUGGUUGAGAUAGUGGCGAACGGGUGAGUAACACAUUGGUAAUUUACUCCAAAGACGGGAAUAACCUUUCGAAAGGAAGGCUAAUACCCGAUAAGCUCCGACAACAUAAGUUCGUCGGAGUAAAGUUACGGCUCUUUGGAAAAAACCUAUGGCCCAUCAGCUAGUUGGUAGGGUAAUGGCCUACCAAGGCAUUAACGGGUAGCAGGUGUGGGAACACGGCCUGCCUCACUGGGACUGAGACACUGCCCAGACUCCUACGGGAGGCUGCAGUCAAGAAUCUUCCUCAAUGGCCGAAAGGCUGAAGGAGCGACGCCGCGUGCAGGAAGAAACCCUUCGGGGUUUAAACUGCUUUUCUGAGGGACGAAUUUUAUGACGGUACCUCAGGAAUAAGGGGCUGCUAACCUCGU